Molecule: long non-coding RNA, 229 nt
Organism: Contarinia nasturtii (swede midge)
Lineage: Eukaryota; Metazoa; Arthropoda; Insecta; Diptera; Cecidomyiidae
Exons: 3
Source: RefSeq, a predicted model, not a curated record
CUGUACUAGUGAAUGAAAAAUUACAUACAUUAUCGGAAAAAUUUGUUAUUCAGAAUGUGCCAUUCAACUUCUACACAUCUUCGGAAAUGCUACAAAAGAUACUCGAAAAGCCGCUUGAGAAAAAAGCAGGAAGAAAUUUCGGACCACCUGGAACUAAAACCAUGAUAUAUUUCAUAGAUGACAUGAACAUGCCAGAAGUGGACACUUAUGGAACUGUUCAACCGCACAC